RNAcentral lists this ribosomal RNA (1202 nucleotides) under metagenome. RNAcentral describes it as "bacterial SSU rRNA". It matches the Rfam family "Bacterial small subunit ribosomal RNA", at positions 312 to 1520 of the family's 1533-position model. The record is from RNAcentral.
GCGGGACUGAGAUACGGCCCAGACUCCUACGGGAGGCAGCAGUGGGGAAUAUUGCACAAUGGGCGCAAGCCUGAUGCAGCGACGCCGCGUGCGGGAUGACGGCCUUCGGGUUGUAAACCGCUUUUGACUGGGAGCAAGCCCUUCGGGGUGAGUGUACCUUUCGAAUAAGCACCGGCUAACUACGUGCCAGCGGCCGCGGUAAUACGUAGGGUGCAAGCGUUAUCCGGAAUUAUUGGGCGUAAAGGGCUCGUAGGCGGUUCGUCGCGUCCGGUGUGAAAGUCCAUCGCUUAACGGUGGAUCCGCGCCGGGUACGGGCGGGCUUGAGUGCGGUAGGGGAGACUGGAAUUCCCGGCGUAACGGUGGAAUGUGUAGAUAUCGGGAAGAACACCAAUGGCGAAGGCAGGUCUCUGGGCCGUCACUGACGCUGAGGAGCGAAAGCGUGGGGAGCGAACAGGAUUAGAUACCCUGGUAGUCCACGCCGUAAACGGUGGAUGCUGGAUGUGGGGACCAUUCCACGGUCUCCGUGUCGGAGCCAACGCGUUAAGCAUCCCGCCUGGGGAGUACGGCCGCAAGGCUAAAACUCAAAGAAAUUGACGGGGGCCCGCACAAGCGGCGGAGCAUGCGGAUUAAUUCGAUGCAGCGCGAAGAACCUUACCUGGGCUUGACAUGUUCCCGACAGCCGUAGAGAUACGGUCUCCCUUCGGGGCGGGUUCACAGGUGGUGCAUGGUCGUCGUCAGCUCGUGUCGUGAGAUGUUGGGUUAAGUCCCGCAACGAGCGCAACCCUCGCCCUGUGUUGCCAGCACGUCGUGGUGGGAACUCACGGGGGACCGCCGGGGUCAACUCGGAGGAAGGUGGGGAUGACGUCAGAUCAUCAUGCCCCUUACGUCCAGGGCUUCACGCAUGCUACAAUGGCCGGUACAACGGGAUGCGACCUCGUGAGGGGGAGCGGAUCCCUUAAAACCGGUCUCAGUUCGGAUUGGAGUCUGCAACCCGACUCCAUGAAGGCGGAGUCGCUAGUAAUCGCGGAUCAGCAACGCCGCGGUGAAUGCGUUCCCGGGCCUUGUACACACCGCCCGUCAAGUCAUGAAAGUGGGUAGCACCCGAAGCCGGUGGCCCAACCUUUUUGGGGGGAGCCGUCUAAGGUGAGACUCGUGAUUGGGACUAAGUCGUAACAAGGUAGCCGUACCGGAAGGUGCGGCUG